GGAUUGGGAUAUUCCGACUCCUUAAGGGCCUGGCGCACAUAAGGUGUGACCUUUUCAUUCCCGUUGUUAUGGAGGGCCACAUCUGCCAGAGCCUGGAGUCUGCGAAGGCCGGGACCCGGUUCCCCGGCCCACAGUGGGGGUGUGCAAACCCGAGAGAACUGGGUUGCAAAUUCGUGAAGAAUCAGCAUCAUGUUUGGCAGCUGAGUAUUGGAGCCAGGAGCCUGCCAUGAGGUUUUGAGAACAGAGUGCUGUUUUAGAGCUGGCAGCAGCAUCUCAGCCCAAGAGAAGCCGAUGCAGCCUCAGUGUUCCUUUGCCUUGGGGGUUUCUGAGUGGUGGGGUUGUAAGCAGAUCCUGCCAGGCACCCAGAAGGAAACCUCAUCAGGACUCCCUCAGAAAGGCCCUGAAGAAUCCUGUGACCUUCAUCUAAAGUAGGUCAUGAGACCCCUGAGCUUAAAACGGAGUGAUCGGCUUUGGAGAAGCAUGACUCCACAGUUUCUGCAACAACAGAGCCGGGGAAAGGAGGACGCAGCAAGCGCUGAAUAUUAACCAGCAAAGGUAGAUGCUUCAAUAUCGAAACCACCGGGACCCGCAUGUGCAAAGCUACUUAAUGAGGGUGUAAUCAAACACAGUCUACCAGAAGGAAAUUAAUUAGAGUCCGGAGAGCAAGCAGGAAGCAGAACCAGGCUGCUCCCCCUCCUGGCUCUAGAACAUCACUGGCAGCCACUGCUAAGGGAGGGACAAGGCUGGGGGAUGCCAGGCCUCAGCUGGGUGCCAGGGCUCCUGUCCUCUUCCCCGUGACAUUCCGGCUUGCCUUUGGGGGACACC
This 825-nucleotide long non-coding RNA is filed under the name Homo sapiens (human). RNAcentral describes it as "non-protein coding LRRC75A-AS1:13". The record is from RNAcentral. Lineage: Eukaryota; Metazoa; Chordata; Mammalia; Primates; Hominidae.